AUUGAACGCUGGCGGAAUGCUUUACACAUGCAAGUCGAACGGCAGCACGGGAGCUUGCUCCUGGUGGCGAGUGGCGAACGGGUGAGUAAUGCGUCGGAACGUACCGAGUAAUGGGGGAUAACGCAGCGAAAGCUGUGCUAAUACCGCAUACGCCCUGAGGGGGAAAGUGGGGGAUCGCAAGACCUCACGUUAUUCGAGCGGCCGACGUCUGAUUAGCUAGUUGGUGGGGUAAAGGCCUACCAAGGCGACGAUCAGUAGCGGGUCUGAGAGGAUGAUCCGCCACACUGGAACUGAGACACGGUCCAGACUCCUACGGGAGGCAGCAGUGGGGAAUUUUGGACAAUGGGGGCAACCCUGAUCCAGCCAUUCCGCGUGAGUGAAGAAGGCCUCGGUUGUAAG
Molecule: ribosomal RNA, 399 nt
Filed under: uncultured bacterium
Lineage: Bacteria
Description: bacterial SSU rRNA
Rfam family: Bacterial small subunit ribosomal RNA
Source: RNAcentral